CAGUGGCGGGCAGGCCCUAACACAUGCAGUCGAGCGGCAGCACGGGUACUUGUACCUGGUGGCGAGCGGCGGACGGGUGAGUAAUGCCUAGGAAUCUGCCUAGUAGUGGGGGAUAACGUCCGGAAACGGGCGCUAAUACCGCAUACGUCCUACGGGAGAAAGUGGGGGAUCUUCGGACCUCACGCUAUUAGAUGAGCCUAGGUCGGAUUAGCUAGUUGGUGAGGUAAUGGCUCACCAAGGCGACGAUCCGUAACUGGUCUGAGAGGAUGAUCAGUCACACUGGAACUGAGACACGGUCCAGACUCCUACGGGAGGCAGCAGUGGGGAAUAUUGGACAAUGGGCGAAAGCCUGAUCCAGCCAUGCCGCGUGUGUGAAGAAGGUCUUCGGAUUGUAAAGCACUUUAAGUUGGGAGGAAGGGCAGUUACCUAAUACGUGAUUGUUUUGACGUUACCGACAGAAUAAGCACCGGCUAACUCUGUGCCAGCAGCCGCGGUAAUACGGAGGGUGCAAGCGUUAAUCGGAAUUACUGGGCGUAAGCGCGCGUAGGUGGUUUGUUAAGUUGGAUGUGAAAUCCCGGGCUCAACCUGGGAACUGCAUCCAAAACUGGCAAGCUAGAGUAUGGUAGAGGGUGGUGGAAUUUCCUGUGUAGCGGUGAAAUGCGUAGAUAUAGGAAGGAAGCACCAGUGGCGAAAGGCGACCACCUGGACUGAUACUGACACUGAUGUGCGAAAGCGUGGGGAGCAAACACGAGUAGAUACCCUGGUAGUCCACGCCGUAACGAUGUCAACUAGCCGUUUGGGGAGCCCUUGAGCUCUUACUGGCGCAGCUAACGCAAUUAAGUUGACCGCCUGGGGGAGUACGGCCGCAAGGUGAAAACUCAGAUGAAUUGACGCGGCUCGCACAAGCGGUGGAGGCAUGUGGUUGACUUCGAAGCACGCGAAAAAGCGUGACCAGCCUUGACAUCCAUGACGUUUCUAAAAAUAGAAUUGGUUGCUUCCUGUAACAUGAAACAGUGCUGCAUGGCCUGUCGUUCAGCUUCGGUCCUUGCAUGUAGUAGUUCCGUACGAGCGCAAGCCUGGUCCUUAGCUUACAGCACGGUACGUUGGGACGCUCUUAG
Molecule: ribosomal RNA, 1118 nt
Filed under: Pseudomonas sp.
Lineage: Bacteria; Pseudomonadati; Pseudomonadota; Gammaproteobacteria; Pseudomonadales; Pseudomonadaceae
Description: bacterial SSU rRNA
Rfam family: Bacterial small subunit ribosomal RNA
Source: RNAcentral